GUGGAAUGCGGGUCCAGCAGCGGUUGUAAUAUGGAGGUGCCGAGCGUUAUCCGGAAUGAUUGGGUGUAAAGGGUUCGUAGGCGGCUUGUUAAGUCAGUGGUGAAAUUUCCUAGCGUAACUAGGACACUGCCAUUGAUACUGCAGAGCUUGAAUAAUAUGGAAGUAACUAGAAUAUGUAGUGUAGCGGUGAAAUGCUUAGAUAUUACAUGGAAUACCAAUUGCGAAGGCAGGUUACUACGUAUUUAUUGACGCUGAUGAACGAAAGCGUGGGGAGCGAACAGGAUUAGAUACCCCGGAGUC
Molecule: ribosomal RNA, 300 nt
Filed under: uncultured Propionibacterium sp.
Lineage: Bacteria; Bacillati; Actinomycetota; Actinomycetes; Propionibacteriales; Propionibacteriaceae
Description: bacterial SSU rRNA
Rfam family: Bacterial small subunit ribosomal RNA
Source: RNAcentral